AGAGAUGUGUGAUGACGCAUUCAAUAAGCGGAGGAAAAGAAACUAACAAGGAUUCCCUUAGUAACGGCGAGUGAAGCGGGAAGAGCUCAAAUUUGAAAUCUUCAAGGUUCUACCUUGACGAAUUGUAGUUUAUAGAAGUGUUUUCUGUUAGUAGAGUGGCAAAAGUUCUUUGGAAUAGGACAUCAUAGAGGGUGAGAAUCCCGUAUUUGGUCAUUCUUUCUAGCUUUGUGAUACACUUUCAACGAGUCGGAUUGUUUGGGAAUGCAGUCCAAAAUGGGUGGUAAAUUUCAUCUAAAGCUAAAUAUUGGCGAGAGACCGAUAGCGAACAAGUACCUGUGAGGGAAAGAUGAAAAGAACUUUGAAAAGAGAGUUAAACAGUACGUGAAAUUGUCAAAAGGGAAGCGUUUGACACCAGUGUUGUUUUUCCGAAAAUCAAUUACGAAUGUUUUGUUUUUGAGAAGUUAUGACUUCAUCGGCUUGCUUCUUUCUUUACGAAACUUUCUUAAUGCACUUUUCGGUUAACAAGUCAACAUCAAUUUCUUUUGUUGUAAAAGGGUACGAGGAAGGUGGCUUUCUUUUCGGAGAAAGUGUUUAUAGCCUUGUACCUCUGCAAUCGGAGAGAUUGAGGUCUGCAGCGUAGAUCCUUCGGGGUUAGAUACAUUUGUGCUAAGUUAUAGCUUUUCAUAGACAACUUGUUGACUAUGUUAAGUCUUGUAGCUUACUCGCUUAUGCUAUUUUACCUACGCUUAGGAUGUUGACGAUCAGCUGAGCGC
Molecule: ribosomal RNA, 773 nt
Filed under: uncultured Neocallimastigales
Lineage: Eukaryota; Fungi; Neocallimastigomycota; Neocallimastigomycetes; Neocallimastigales
Description: partial large subunit ribosomal RNA
Rfam family: Eukaryotic large subunit ribosomal RNA
Source: RNAcentral